Arachis ipaensis is the source of this 289-nucleotide non-coding RNA. The record is from RefSeq and is a predicted model, not a curated record. NCBI's taxonomy places the organism in Eukaryota, Viridiplantae, Streptophyta, Magnoliopsida, Fabales, Fabaceae.
CUGUGAGACUUUUGGGUUAUGGAUUUGCGUUUUGAGGAUAUGGUGCAGAAGUUAUGAAGAGUUCAUUUAGUUGUUGAGAUGAUCUGUAUUGCUUUAGUAUAUUUUGUUCCCUCGCCUUUAUCUUGAUACAUUCUGUAAGAGGGAUAGGAAUUGUAUUGGUUAAUGCUUGUAAUAUGAUGUAUAUAUCUAUGUAUAUAUAUGGAUGUAUCCUUUAUGAGUUUUUGUAAGUUGAAUGGUAUCUAUGAAUGUAUGUUAUCAAACGAAAGUAUUUUGGGAGCGAUAUUGCGGU